Polypterus senegalus (gray bichir) is the source of this 1086-nucleotide long non-coding RNA. RefSeq lists it as uncharacterized. The record is from RefSeq and is a predicted model, not a curated record. The transcript has 3 exons. Lineage: Eukaryota; Metazoa; Chordata; Cladistia; Polypteriformes; Polypteridae.
UGAUGAUACGUAACGUUGGAGCUUAUCUAGUUCAUAACACUAGAAGGAUUUUUUUCCCCCCCAUAUAACAAAUUCGAUAACAAACUACACACAGACGCUAUUUAGGUUUCAUAAUGUUUGGAUUUAAGGUACAGAAAGCGGUGUUGCAUCCAUGGAAGGAAAAAUAUAAAAAAGAACAAGCUUUCGAUCCAAUUUUCCAUUUUGAAACUUCUAGAUUGUUCCCAAGAGUUACAACUAUUAGAAAAAAUAUGGGACCCCUGAGCGCAGCACCAACGGUCACAAUGUAUUCGCCAGCAGAGCUUCAUAGACUUUGGAGGAGUUCUCAGCCUAUUAUGGAAAGACAGCCAGAGAUUGCUUCUGUUAUCAGCGAGAAAGGGAAUAAAGCAAAGGUCCCUUCAGUUUUACAUUUCUGUUGUCUCAUUUUGGCUUUGUUUUUAUUAGCAAAAACUAUUUUGUCGCAACUGUUAAAAUCCAGUUUGAUCAUUGUAUUUUCCGGUUUCAAAAAUAUGGCUUUUUUUUUCUUUGUAUUAUCUUCUCAGAUGUGGUAUUUCAUUGAUGUUUCUGUAUGUUUUGUACUGUGCAUAUGCAUUGACUUUCUAUGUAUUUUAAUAAGCAUUUUACAGUCUUUGCAUGUUAUGAAUCAUAUUUCAAAACAAAUAGUCACUGCAAAUAAAGAUUGAUUAGCACAGAAGAAUGAACCUCAGCCAUGAGGCACUUUAGGAUUUCUAGUGUUUGGUACAAUAGAUUUCUCAGUUUUUAACUAAGUUCUUUUUUUUUUAUGAUGGUGUACGUUUUUGUUUUCAUCUAAAUUCAUCCAUUUUCUACAAGUGCUUAUCCAGAACAGGGUUGCAUGAAAUCUGGAGCUUGUUCCAUCAAGCAAAGGGCAGCAGUGCUAACUCAAAGCUCUGGAGACCCAAAUUUCAUUCCAGGAGUAACUCUUGUGUGUUUUUCUUGUUCCCUUUCAUUGAAUUUUUUUUUUGUUUCUUUCCCCAUUCCAGAAGCAUGCAUGAUCUUUUUAAACACAUAUUUCUCUGGGCUUGAUUAUGGACAAGUCUGAUCUUAGGUGGACUGUAGAAAACUCUGUUU